RNAcentral lists this ribosomal RNA (281 nucleotides) under uncultured Staphylococcus sp. RNAcentral describes it as "partial 16S ribosomal RNA". It matches the Rfam family "Bacterial small subunit ribosomal RNA", at positions 81 to 355 of the family's 1533-position model. The record is from RNAcentral. Lineage: Bacteria; Bacillati; Bacillota; Bacilli; Caryophanales; Staphylococcaceae.
CUCCUUUGACGUUAGCGGCGGACGGGUGAGUAACACGUGGGUAACCUACCUAUAAGACUGGGAUAACUUCGGGAAACCGGAGCUAAUACCGGAUAAUAUUUCGAACCGCAUGGUUCGAUAGUGAAAGGUGGUUUUACUAUCACUUAUAGAUGGACCCGCGCCGUAUUAGCUAGUUGGUAAGGUAACGGCUUACCAAGGCGACGAUACGUAGCCGACCUGAGAGGGUGAUCGGCCACACUGGAACUGAGACACGGUCCAGACUCCUACGGGAGGCAGCAGCC